This is a non-coding RNA of Xyrichtys novacula (pearly razorfish), 1013 nucleotides long. The record is from the annotation of a GenBank genome assembly. NCBI's taxonomy places the organism in Eukaryota, Metazoa, Chordata, Actinopteri, Labriformes, Labridae.
CCCUAGUCACCAUAAUGCUACGGUACAUAUGAUUUGUUCAUGGUGAAGGAGAUCUGACAUUUUGGUAUUAAACAUCCUUUUUUUAAUCAUCUUAACCUAUUUUGAUCAAGUCAUGACCUUUUUCAUGAUGUUCUGAUCUGUUAUGACACACCUGUAUUCAGUUUUUUACUCUACAUAGCAAGACCUGUGAUUUUUUUUAUGCAAUAAAGUUUGUUUUUUACUCAUAAUAACCUGAGAACCCAACGUGUUUUUUGGCAGACGUAGUUCAGGAACUUUUAUGUAUGAAUUUAAUUUUCAUCGCAUGGAGUAAUUUCAUUUUAAUAAAAGUGUCAACACGUCCAAACCCCUGCAAAUCCCACUUACACCAGGACAAAUAAAAAGCAAUUUUCACUUUGCCAUGGUGCCCUGGUUACCCAUCAUGGUUUAAAGUACAGACUGUGACUCAUGACGUUUUCAGUCCAGGUCCAGCUGUGGACCCACUCUCCGUUUGUCCUUUGCUCCUAUUUCUCUGCAUGAAUUAGCUCACACAUAUGCACACACACACACACACACACACACACACACACACACACACACACACACACACACACACACACACACACACACACACACACACACACACACACGGGCACAACAACAAAACUUUAAAAUAACAAAAUAUCUCAGUCUCUCGCUGCAGCUGAAAUCCUGGGACUGUUUUUGUUUUGCAGUAGAGAGGACUGAGUUUGCAGAAGAAACAGAGUGUCGAAGAAAUGGAAAGUGGCCUUUGGGGAUGAUGUGUUGCCGUAUAAGUUUUUUGCAUAAGAAAAAGAAGUAAAGAGAGUUUUUUAAGGUCAACAGAAAUAUCACAAAAUCAUCAUGCUUACUCUUUUAACACAGACUUACCUUUUACUUAGGAGCUCAGCCUGCUGCCAAUUAAUAUAAAAAUAAAAAAAAGACAGAAACUCAAGGAUGAACUGGAUUUCUCUCGGGUUAGGACAUUAAGUUUUUACAUGAAAUCUGCCUGUGAUGGG